This 329-nucleotide unclassified non-coding RNA is filed under the name soil metagenome. Its description in RNAcentral is "partial contains 5.8S ribosomal RNA, internal transcribed spacer 2, and large subunit ribosomal RNA". The stretch from base 1 to 120 matches the Rfam family "5.8S ribosomal RNA", at positions 35 to 154 of the family's 154-position model. The record is from RNAcentral.
GAUGAAGAACGUAGCGAAAUGCGAUAAGUAAUGUGAAUUGCAGAAUUCAGUGAAUCAUCGAGUUUUUGAACGCAUAUUGCGCCCUCUGGUAUUCCGGGGGGCAUGCCUGUUCGAGCGUCAUUACAACCCUCAAGCUCAGCUUGGUGUUGGGCCCCGCCGCCCCGGCGGGCCCUAAAGUCAGUGGCGGUGCCGUCCGGCUCCGAGCGUAGUAAUUCUUCUCGCUCUGGAGGUCCGGUCGUGUGCUCGCCAGCAACCCCCAAUUUUUUUCAGGUUGACCUCGGAUCAGGUAGGGAUACCCGCUGAACUUAAGCAUAUCAAUAAGCGGAGGA